Molecule: ribosomal RNA, 244 nt
Filed under: uncultured bacterium
Lineage: Bacteria
Description: partial 16S ribosomal RNA
Rfam family: Bacterial small subunit ribosomal RNA
Source: RNAcentral
CGAGUGGCGGACGGGUGAGUAACGCGUAGGAAUCUACCCAAUAGCGGGGGAUAGCCCGGGGAAACUCGGAUUAAUACCGCAUACGCCCCACGGGGGAAAGGCCGGGAUCUUCGGACCGGUCACUAUUGGAUGAGCCUGCGUAAGAUUAGCUAGUUGGUAGGGUAAAGGCCUACCAAGGCGACGAUCUUUAGCUGGUCUGAGAGGAUGAUCAGCCACACUGGGACUGAGAUACGGCCCAGACUCC